RNA transcript from Strigops habroptila (Kakapo), 1606 nucleotides. It is a transcript of the gene named intraflagellar transport associated protein, with no coding region annotated. The record is from RefSeq and is a predicted model, not a curated record. The transcript has 5 exons. Lineage: Eukaryota; Metazoa; Chordata; Aves; Psittaciformes; Psittacidae.
UCAGUAAGUAAAGGAGAGAAUGUUUAUCCUAGAUUCUCUGACAGGAGUAGCUCCUUAGGCACUUGCUGGAAUUGCUUUAUCUAUCUUCCCAGGUUGUUUCAUGCUAAUUAUGUUGUGUUAAUACAGUGUGGUUGAUACUUGAUUGUGCUGUCCUCCACCUCUAACCUUCCAACUCCACCGAUUCCUCAUCUGACCCUGAACAGCUUCAAGGAGCCCAAAAGAGGAAGAGGGGAAGACAGUUCGCAGAAGUAAAGUUGACUCCUUAAGGAAAAUAUUUUAUACUUCUGAAUUACCAAACAGAAAUAAACAGGAUGGCUCACCUGGAAGAAGCAAGAAAAUCGGGGUGUCUCUUCCACCACAGCUGCCAAAUGAGAAUGAGGUGGACAAGGCCUUACAUUUAGAAGAUACAGACACAGAUGAACAGACGUGCAGUGGGUCAUUACUUCUCCCAGGAGAGGUGGAACAGACAGUGACUUAUUGUACACCCUUUUUUGAUAAGCCCAUUCAACUGAAGUCCAGGAUCUUGUCAGUUCCCCAGCCAUUGGACAGCAAAACCCAGGAGCUACUAGGGGAUGAUGUUCACCCGUUCUCACUUGAUGAAGAAUUUGAUUAUGACAAUGUUGUACUGACCCCAAAGUUCUCUGAAGCUGAGCUCAAGGCCAUUAUAGACUUGUCUGAAGAGAAGAAAAUGGUGGCAGAUGUCAAGUCAGCAUGAGCUGAAGACUGGGUUGAAGUCAUUCUGUGCAGUGCUGCUAAAUAACAUUUUAGGGGGUAAAUCUAGCACUUCACUGUAUCCUUAUUUAGUGGUUUUAUCUGUGUGACCAGUAAAUGACAUCCUCAGUAUUUUUGCGCUUGAUGUACCAAGGUGCCUUGAAGCCUUUGGUUCCCUUUCCCUGUAUCUCCUCCUCUCAAGUCCUCAUGAGAACAUGGAACAGGAAGAUGGUGCUUGCUCAGAGUUCUUGUAUAACAGCCAUUCAGCUACUAUUUUAUAUGUCUGUACAAUGAUUUGCUUAGGGAUUCAGGUUGACUGAGAUCUGCAUUUGUUCCUAAACCCAAACAGGAUUUUUGUGUAAUAAUAAUGUUGUAUAGAAAAUAUCUGUAUAGAUAAUAUUUUUAGGCAACAAUGUUCAGCUAUGUUGUUGUUUUCCAGGUGGUACAAGGCAUUUAGAAGGAUGUAUCCAGUGACAACCAUAAAUUCCCUUUUGUAGAAAAAUCCUUGAGCAGGGUGAAUCCUGUAUUGAUUGGUUCAGGUGAGGUAUGCUGGAGUAAUUGCUGUACAGGACCAAAACAAGCUGGUGGAAUUCAGAAUAGGAAUGUGGCUACUCUUGCUUCUAUUUGGUACAGACUCAGGUGGUGACUAGUGCUAAGCUAGUCCUAGAGCUGCCUUUUACCUUCUUCUUUCAGUAAUGCAAAUAAGAGCUUUUUGCAGCUGACAAAUCAGUCUAUAAACUCUUUCCCUAUCAUUAUAAGACUUAAAUGUACAGUGUUACAUGAGUGAAUAAAUAUGAGAAUGUUGUUUUGUUUUUUUUCUCUGGUUUUUCACUUACUUCAGUUCUGCAGAGAAAUAAAUAUUCCUGUUUCCAAUAAACUUCUGAGUUGAUCAAAA